This is a long non-coding RNA of Haliotis rubra (blacklip abalone), 121 nucleotides long. RefSeq lists it as uncharacterized. The transcript is spliced from 3 exons. The record is from RefSeq and is a predicted model, not a curated record. NCBI's taxonomy places the organism in Eukaryota, Metazoa, Mollusca, Gastropoda, Lepetellida, Haliotidae.
UCUGCCUGUACGGGGACAGUCAUUUGUUAUACUUGUUUGGUUGUAACGAGCUGCAAGCCGUGAUAUCUUACUCAGACUAGCAUUCAGACGCCUGUCAAGAGAAGAUUUGUAAGUUCCAGGA